AUGUCUGGGCCAAAAGCCCACGUGAUAUUUCUGCUGGUCCUGCGCUUCGGCCGAGCGAGCCGAUCCCCAAAUCCGGGACAACGCCGGCCGCCGGCCACUGUUCCUUCCUUGGGGCAUCCACCUACCCACGGACGGAGAUCUCUCGACGUGGCGUCGCCGCGGAGUGCCGUGCCGAUGAGCUGGCGCGGGAGGCCGCCGGCGACCGGGGAGGACGAGGGAGAUGGCCGCGUCUCCGCCCGAGUUUGCGCGGCGCGGUGCGGAAGCGGGGGGAGGAGGAGGAAGCCGGCGGCCACUGUUGACGGUAAGAGCAUCAGCCGUGGUGCACUGCUUUUCUUUUGGCCCCACCUACCAAUUUUGGGGUAG
This 363-nucleotide ribosomal RNA is filed under the name Triticum aestivum (bread wheat). RNAcentral's name for it is "partial small subunit ribosomal RNA". The record is from RNAcentral. Lineage: Eukaryota; Viridiplantae; Streptophyta; Magnoliopsida; Poales; Poaceae.